RNAcentral lists this unclassified non-coding RNA (1086 nucleotides) under Cephalothrix alaskaensis KL18. RNAcentral's name for it is "bacterial SSU rRNA". It matches the Rfam family "Bacterial small subunit ribosomal RNA", at positions 356 to 1455 of the family's 1533-position model. The record is from RNAcentral. Lineage: Bacteria; Bacillati; Cyanobacteriota; Cyanophyceae; Aerosakkonematales; Aerosakkonemataceae. RNAcentral also lists the same sequence under 1 other name.
GGGGAAUUUUCCGCAAUGGGCGAAAGCCUGACGGAGCAAGACCGCGUGAGGGAGGAAGGCUCUUGGGUUGUAAACCUCUUUUCUCAAGGAAGAAACAAUGACGGUACUUGAGGAAUCAGCAUCGGCUAACUCCGUGCCAGCAGCCGCGGUAAUACGGAGGAUGCAAGCGUUAUCCGGAAUGAUUGGGCGUAAAGCGUCCGCAGGUGGCCGCUCAAGUCUGCCGUCAAAGACUCCAGCUUAACUGGAGAAAGGCGGUGGAAACUGAGCUAGCUAGAGUGCGGUAGGGGCAGAGGGAAUUCCCGGUGUAGCGGUGAAAUGCGUAGAGAUCGGGAAGAACACCAGUGGCGAAAGCGCUCUGCUGGACCGCAACUGACACUCAGGGACGAAAGCUAGGGGAGCGAAUGGGAUUAGAUACCCCAGUAGUCCUAGCCGUAAACGAUGGAUACUAGGUGUUGUGCGUAUCGACCCGCGCAGUGCCGCAGCUAACGCGCUAAGUAUCCCGCCUGGGGAGUACGCACGCAAGUGUGAAACUCAAAGGAAUUGACGGGGGCCCGCACAAGCGGUGGAGUAUGUGGUUUAAUUCGAUGCAACGCGAAGAACCUUACCAGGGCUUGACAUGUCCGGAAUCUUUGGGAAACUAAAGAGUGCCUUCGGGAACCGGAACACAGGUGGUGCAUGGCUGUCGUCAGCUCGUGUCGUGAGAUGUUGGGUUAAGUCCCGCAACGAGCGCAACCCUCGUUUCUAGUUGCCAGCAUUCAGUUGGGCACUCUGGAGAGACUGCCGGUGACAAACCGGAGGAAGGUGGGGAUGACGUCAAGUCAGCAUGCCCCUUACGUCCUGGGCUACACACGUACUACAAUGCUUCAGACAAAGGGCAGCCAGCCAGCAAUGGUGAGCUAAUCCCAUAAACUGAGGCUCAGUUCAGAUCGCAGGCUGCAACUCGCCUGCGUGAAGGCGGAAUCGCUAGUAAUCGCCGGUCAGCAUACGGCGGUGAAUACGUUCCCGGGCCUUGUACACACCGCCCGUCACACCAUGGGAGCUGGCGGUGCCCGAAGUCGUUAUCCUAACCUGCAAAGGAGGGAGACG